CAGCCGCCGCGGGAAUACCGAGGGUGCGAGCGUUAAUCGGAUUUACUGGGCGUAAAGCGUGCGUAGGCGGCUUUUUAAGUCGGAUGUGAAAUCCCUGAGCUUAACUUAGGAAUUGCAUUCGAUACUGGGAAGCUAGAGUAUGGGAGAGGAUGGUAGAAUUCCAGGUGUAGCGGUGAAAUGCGUAGAGAUCUGGAGGAAUACCGAUGGCGAAGGCAGCCAUCUGGCCUAAUACUGACGCUGAGGUACGAAAGCAUGGGGAGCAAACAGGAUUAGAUACCCGGGUAGUCCCUGUCUUUAUACA
Molecule: ribosomal RNA, 301 nt
Filed under: uncultured bacterium
Lineage: Bacteria
Description: partial 16S ribosomal RNA
Rfam family: Bacterial small subunit ribosomal RNA
Source: RNAcentral